This 311-nucleotide unclassified non-coding RNA is filed under the name Hevea brasiliensis (rubber tree). Lineage: Eukaryota; Viridiplantae; Streptophyta; Magnoliopsida; Malpighiales; Euphorbiaceae. The record is from RNAcentral.
GGCGAGAUCAAGAAGAUCGUCAUGGGGCUCGACAAGAGCAACAAGACCCCCUGCGGCUUCUGCUUCGUUAUGUACUAUUCGAGGGAAGAUACUGAGGAUUCAGUCAAAUACAUUAGCGGGACAGUUCUUGAUGAUCGCCCAAUUCGUGUAGAUUUUGAUUGGGGAUUCGAAGAAGGCAGGCAGUGGGGCCGUGGUCGGAGUGGUGGACAAGUGAGAGAUGAAUACCGCACCAAUUAUGAUCCUGGUAGAGGUGGUUAUGGAAAGCUUGUACAAAAAGAGCUGGAAGCACAAAGGGAUUUAGUAGAUUAUGG